Capsicum annuum is the source of this 364-nucleotide long non-coding RNA. RefSeq lists it as uncharacterized. NCBI's taxonomy places the organism in Eukaryota, Viridiplantae, Streptophyta, Magnoliopsida, Solanales, Solanaceae. The transcript has 2 exons. The record is from RefSeq and is a predicted model, not a curated record.
AUUGCAAAUUAAUCUAAGAUAUCAAUUCUUUCGUGUUUCAGCAGGUCAAGUUAGUGGCCGAAGGCAAUACUCAACAACUUGGAUUGGACUACAAAAAUAAUUUUCAUCAGUUAUGAAAAUGACAAACGUAAAAGCCUCGUUGGCCACUGCUGUGAAGAAAGGGUGGGCUAUAUAUAAUUGAAUAUAAAUAAUAUCUUUCUUUAUAACGAAUCACAUGAGGAAGCUAUAUGGCACUACCUCCAGGGAUGGCAGUGGACAAUAAGCUGGUUUGCAAGCUGAACAAACCCUUCUAUGGCUUAAAGUAGGAACAUUAUUGAUGAGAUGAUAGAUACGAAUUAGAGCUAAAAAAAAGAUCAAAAGGAAA